ACCAGCGUGGUGUAGUGGUUUGAGUGUUAGACAUUGACUCUGGAGACCAGGGAUCGAAUCCCAGCUUAGCCA
Molecule: non-coding RNA, 72 nt
Organism: Phrynosoma platyrhinos (Desert horned lizard)
Lineage: Eukaryota; Metazoa; Chordata; Lepidosauria; Squamata; Phrynosomatidae
Source: the annotation of a GenBank genome assembly